RNAcentral lists this ribosomal RNA (433 nucleotides) under uncultured bacterium. RNAcentral's name for it is "partial 16S ribosomal RNA". It matches the Rfam family "Bacterial small subunit ribosomal RNA", at positions 29 to 507 of the family's 1533-position model. The record is from RNAcentral.
AACGAACGCUGGCGGCAUGCCUAACACAUGCAAGUCGAACGAGACCUUCGGGUCUAGUGGCGCACGGGUGCGUAACGCGUGGGAACCUGCUCUUAGGUUCGGAAUAACUCCUCGAAAGGGGUGCUAAUACCGGAUAAUGUCUUUGGACCAAAGAUUUAUCGUUUUUGGAUGGGCCCGCGUUGGUUUAGCUUGUUGGUCGGGUAAAAGCCUACCAAGGCGACGAUUCAUAGCUGGUCUGAGCGGCGGACCAGCCAAACUGGGACUGAGACACGGCCCAGACUCCUACGAGGGGCAGGAGUGGGAAAUAGUGGACAAUGGGCGAGAGCCUGAUACAGCAAUGCCGCGUGAGUGAUGAAGGCAUUAGGGUUGUAAAGCUCUUUUACCCGGGAUGAUAAUGACAGUACCGGGAGAAUAAGCUCCGGCUAACUCCGUG